RNAcentral lists this ribosomal RNA (405 nucleotides) under uncultured bacterium. RNAcentral describes it as "partial 16S ribosomal RNA". It matches the Rfam family "Bacterial small subunit ribosomal RNA", at positions 29 to 525 of the family's 1533-position model. The record is from RNAcentral.
AUUGAACGCUGGCGGCAGGCCUAACACAUGCAAGUCGAACGAGUGGCGGACGGGUGAGUAAUGUCUGGGAAACUGCCUGAUGGAGGGGGAUAACUACUGGAAACGGUAGCUAAUACCGCAUACCAUCGGAUGUGCCCAGAUGGGAUUAGCUAGUAGGUGGGGUAAAGGCUCACCUAGGCGACGAUCCCUAGCUGGUCUGAGAGGAUGACCAGCAAAACUGGAACGGGGACACGGUCCAGACCCCUAGGGGAGGCAGCAUGGGGGAAUAUUGAACAAUGGGCGAAAGCCUGAUGCAGCCAUGCCGCGUGUAUGAGGAAGGCCUUGGGGUUGUAAGGUACUUUCAGCGGGGAGGCGUAACCCGCAGAAGAAGCACCGGCUAACUCCGUGCCAGCCGCCGCGGUAAUA